ACAUGCAAGUCGAACGGGGUCCUAGGGUAGCUUGCUACCCGACCGACCUAGUGGCGCACGGGUGAGUAACACGUGGGCAAUCUGCCCGGAAGACUGGGAUAACAGCCCGAAAGGGCUGCUAAUACCGGAUACCUUCACGGAAUCGCAUGAUUCUGUGAAGAAAUGUAUUUCGCUUCCGGAUGAGCCCGCGUCCCAUUAGCUAGUUGGUGAGGUAACGGCUCACCAAGGCAACGAUGGGUAGCUGGUCUGAGAGGACGAUCAGCCACACUGGAACUGAGACACGGUCCAGACUCCUACGGGAGGCAGCAGUGGGGAAUCUUGCGCAAUGGGCGAAAGCCUGACGCAGCAACGCCGUGUGAACGAUGAAGGCCUUAGGGUCGUAAAGUUCUGUCAAGGGGGAAGAAGUUCUGACGGUACCCCUGGAGGAAGCUCCGGCUAACUACGUGCCAGCAGCCGCGGUAAUACGUAGGGAGCGAGCGUUGUCCGGAAUUACUGGGCGUAAAGGGCGUGUAGGCGGCCAAUCAAGUCAGGUGUGAAAAUCCAAGGCUCAACCUUGGACGUGCACUUGAAACUGGUUGACUUGAGUGCAGGAGAGGAAAGUGGAAUUCCCAGUGUAGCGGUGAAAUGCGUAGAUAUUGGGAGGAACACCAGUGGCGAAGGCGACUUUCUGGCCUGUAACUGACGCUGAGGCGCGAAAGCUAGGGGAGCAAACAGGAUUAGAUACCCUGGUAGUCCUAGCCGUAAACGAUGGGUACUAGGUGUAGGGGGUUUAGAUGCCCUCUGUGCCGCAGUUAACACAUUAAGUACCCCGCCUGGGGAGUACGGCCGCAAGGCUGAAACUCAAAGGAAUUGACGGGGGCCCGCACAAGCAG
RNAcentral lists this ribosomal RNA (872 nucleotides) under uncultured bacterium. RNAcentral's name for it is "bacterial SSU rRNA". It matches the Rfam family "Bacterial small subunit ribosomal RNA", at positions 53 to 932 of the family's 1533-position model. The record is from RNAcentral.